RNAcentral lists this long non-coding RNA (893 nucleotides) under Felis catus (domestic cat). RNAcentral's name for it is "lncRNA (ENSFCAG00000050842.1)". Lineage: Eukaryota; Metazoa; Chordata; Mammalia; Carnivora; Felidae. The record is from RNAcentral.
GACUUGCUCUCGAUUGGGUGUUGACGGGGUAACGUUGUCUUGGAUCUCUCCCUCCUCCUCCCUUCUUUUGCAGACCGCGCUCGCGUGCGACGCCCCGCCCACCUCGCCCCACACUUCCCUGCUUUCGCUCGUCGCCUACCCUGGCUGAAGUGGAAGAGGGGGGCGGGCUUGAAGAAAAGAUGCAGCGCCGGCCGCGCGCGCGCACAGGACGAGUGAGACUACGGCGCGUGCGCGAGUUCCGGAGCGCCACGCGCUCUCCUUUCCUUUGCAACUCCUCCGGGAGGCAGGCUCCGCCCAAUCCCCUCGCAAUGCGCGUGCGCCCUGGAACCGCUUCCUUUCCCAGGUCUAAGUUCGUGUCCGCGAACUCCCGCCUCUUGGCUUCUGCUCCGCUAGGGAUUUUACGUGCGCCUAGGCGGCUGCGGAGGCGGGAGCCUGGCCGGGUCGCCUUUUCGAGGGCGCAGGGGGAAAUACUUCUUUCCUGCAUCAGAUGUUUCUUGAAGUAUGGAGUGGGUGCCAUGAUCUUAACUCUCAAUACUCUAUUCCAGUGCUACUAACAAGUUUCCUGAUGUGACAUUCAAGGGAACAAAAUCUAUACCAGUGACCCCAGGAGAUUCCACAAAAGGGAGAAGAGACCUUAUGAAGACGCGAGCACAAUUGCCCUAACUGACCUCUGACUUCUUGUCCGAGGAGGAUAACCAUAUCCGAAGUUGAUCUCAGUGGUAAGCUGAAGGCAUAAGCAAUGGUCUUUAUACAUUUUGCUGACAUACCCCCCAAAUAAUUUUUAAGUUGAUGUGUAAAAUUUUUUGUCCUAAAAUUAGUUGCAAAAGAUGUAAUUUCUGGUUAAAGUAAAUAUGAAUGUUUUAAAAUAAAAAGGGUUAAGAUGCAUAUAAUCA